Non-coding RNA from Nerophis lumbriciformis (worm pipefish), 74 nucleotides. The record is from the annotation of a RefSeq genome assembly. NCBI's taxonomy places the organism in Eukaryota, Metazoa, Chordata, Actinopteri, Syngnathiformes, Syngnathidae.
GUGGAUAUAGCUCAGUUGGUUAGAGCAUCGGCUUGUGGUGCCGAGGGUCGUGGGUUCGAAUCCCAUUAUCCACC